Molecule: long non-coding RNA, 396 nt
Filed under: Homo sapiens (human)
Lineage: Eukaryota; Metazoa; Chordata; Mammalia; Primates; Hominidae
Description: HSALNT0345123
Source: RNAcentral
ACUGCACCUGCGUAUUCACAGAUACAAGUGGGUGAGGGAGCCGCAGGAGGCACCUGAGCCCAGCCCCUGGGUUCUGCCCCUGUUCCUCCCCGCCCCCACUAGGUAAAAAAGCCCCUGCCUCCUGCUGCUGAUUAGGUCAAUAACGCAUGCCAAUAAGAUGAUUUCUCUUUUAACCUGCUGAUCCUUGCGAACGAGGCAUCCUGAGUGUCCCGGCAGCAGCUUCCACUUGCCGUUCAACAAGACCCUUGCUGUGUCUCCUGGCCAGAGUGUGUCCUCUUUUGGAUCCGGACCUCCAACCCUGCAGAACCCAGAGUCGCAGAGCAGGAAGCCCCAAAUCCCCCAGUGGGUCUUAGAGACUGGUGCUACACUGAAGCUGAGUGUGGUGGCACAUGCCCA